GCCGAAAUAGCUCAGUUGUGGAGAGCGUUAGACUGAAGAUCUAAAGUCCCUGGUUCGAUACCGGGUUUCGGCA
This 73-nucleotide transfer RNA is filed under the name Rhipicephalus sanguineus (brown dog tick). RNAcentral describes it as "transfer RNA phenylalanine (anticodon GAA)". It matches the Rfam family "tRNA". Rfam says of the family: Transfer RNA (tRNA) molecules are approximately 80 nucleotides in length. The record is from Rfam by way of RNAcentral. Lineage: Eukaryota; Metazoa; Arthropoda; Arachnida; Ixodida; Ixodidae.